Molecule: ribosomal RNA, 331 nt
Filed under: uncultured eukaryote
Lineage: Eukaryota
Description: partial 18S ribosomal RNA
Rfam family: Eukaryotic small subunit ribosomal RNA
Source: RNAcentral
CCCUUAGAUGUUCUGGGCCGCACGCGCGCUACACUGACGAAGUCAGCGAGCAUGUCCUACGCCGACAGGUGCGGGGAAUCUUGUCAAACUUCGUCGUGAUGGGGAUUGAUUAUUGAAAUUCUUGAUCAUCAACGAGGAAUUCCUAGUAAGCGCAAGUCAGCAGCUUGCGUUGAUUACGUCCCUGCCCUUUGUACACACCGCCCGUCGCUACUACCGAUUGAAUGGUUUAGUGAGAUCUUCGGAUUGGCGCCACUGCGGCCCAGCAAUGGGCUCGGUGGGUGCCGAAAAGUUGAUCAAACUUGAUCAUUUAGAGGAAGUAAAAGUCGUAACA